AUUGAACGCUGGCGGCAGGCCUAACACAUGCAAGUCGAGCGAGCGGCGGACGGGUGAGUAAUGUCUGGGAAACCGCCUGAUGGAGGGGGAUAAAUACUGGAAACGGUAGCUAAUACCGCAUAUCAUCAUGUGUGCCCAGAUGGGAUUAGCUAGUAGGUGGGGUAACGUCUCACCUAGGCGACGAGCCCUAGCUGGUCUGAGAGGAUGACCCGCCACACUGUAACUGAGACACGGUCCAGACUCCUACGGGAGGCAGCAGUGGGGAAUAUUGCACAAUGGGCGCAAGCCUGAUGCAGCCAUGCCGCGUGUGUGAAGAAGGCCUUAGGGUUGUAAAGCACUUUCAGCGGGGAGGCGUUACCCGCAGAAGAAGCACCGGCUAACUCCGUGCCAGCAGCCGCGGUAAUAC
This 406-nucleotide ribosomal RNA is filed under the name uncultured bacterium. RNAcentral's name for it is "partial 16S ribosomal RNA". It matches the Rfam family "Bacterial small subunit ribosomal RNA", at positions 30 to 526 of the family's 1533-position model. The record is from RNAcentral.